GAACCACAUGGAGGAUCUUUGAGGCUGUACAUGCUGUGUUUCCUGCCUUGUGUGCGUUAUUGCUCUAUAAACCACACACCCAAACACGUAACCAUACACACCUGUAACCUGUCUUCUUGAUAAUGCUUGGAAUAAAAGAAUUGUGGAAUUGAAA
Perca flavescens (yellow perch) is the source of this 154-nucleotide long non-coding RNA. RefSeq lists it as uncharacterized. NCBI's taxonomy places the organism in Eukaryota, Metazoa, Chordata, Actinopteri, Perciformes, Percidae. The record is from RefSeq and is a predicted model, not a curated record. The transcript has 2 exons.